Molecule: unclassified non-coding RNA, 1053 nt
Filed under: Hevea brasiliensis (rubber tree)
Lineage: Eukaryota; Viridiplantae; Streptophyta; Magnoliopsida; Malpighiales; Euphorbiaceae
Source: RNAcentral
UCCACAUAUACAAAAAGUCCUCCUGAUGUGAAGGAUAUGUCACAAUUGCUCAAUGCUAUUGUUGGGCAUGUUCCUCCACCGAGUGCCAGCCUAGAUGCCCCUUUUCAGAUGUUGGUUUCAAUGAUGGAGAAAGAUCCUUAUCUUGGUCGUGUUUUGACGGGUCGUGUAACUUGUGGAGUUGUUCGUGUCGGUGAUAAAGUACAAGGGCUGAAAAACACCGACAAUGGAACUGUAAAAAUUGAAGAAGGGAAGGUUGUAAAGCUGAUGAAAAAGAAGGGUAUGAGAGCAGAUCCAGUUGAUAGUGCUGGUGCAGGUGACAUAGUGUCCAUGGCAGGUUUGUCAAGUCCAACAAUUGGACACACAGUUGCGAAUGCAGAGGUUAUGACAGCGCUGCCCACAGUUGUGCUUGACCCCCCUACCAUCUCCAUGACUUUCGGUGUCAAUGAUUCUCCCUUAGCUGGUUCUGAUGGUAUUCAUUUGACCGGAGGGAAAAUUGGUGACCGGCUGCUAGCUGAAUCAGAAACGAAUCUUGCCAUAAAUGUUCUCCCCAGUACGUCAGAAUCAUAUGAAGUGCAGGGUAGAGGUGAACUUCAAUUAGGUAUCUUAAUUGAGAACAUGAGACGUGAAGGAUUUGAGCUCUCUGUCUCCCCACCUAAAGUCAUGUACAAAGUAGAGAAAGGUACUAAGCUUGAGCCAAUUGAAGAAGUGACUAUUGAGGUUGAUGACGAGCACGUAGGUUUGGUCAUGGAAGCACUUUCUCACAGGCGAGGUGAAGUUACUGACAUGGGCCCUGUUCCUGGCAGCAUGGGAAGGACUAGAAUGUGUCUGACAUGUCCUUCAAGAGGGCUAGUGGGCUAUAGAAGUGUGUUCAGCAGUGACACCCGUGGCUCUGGAUUUAUGCAUCGGGCUUUUCUGACUUAUGAAAAAUAUCGUGGUCCUCUUGGAAAUGUCAGGAAAGGAGUUCUAGUAUCAAUGGGCCGUGGGUUAAUCACUGCUCAUGCACUGAUGGGGUUAGAACCUCGUGGAGUUCUCUUUGUGGCACCUGCAAUGGAG